UCAAGUCUUUAAGAGCAAACGGUGGAUGCCUUGGCAUCUGGAGCCGAAGAAGGACGUAGCAAUCUGCGAUAAGCCUCGGGGAGCUGAUAAGCGAGCUUUGAUCCGAGGAUGUCCGAAUGGGGAAACCCCGCUGGGAGCUUCGUGCUACCCAGUGACUCCCGCCUGAAUAUAUAGGGCGGGUAGAGGGAACGUGGGGAAGUGAAACAUCUCAGUACCCACAGGAAGAGAAAACAACAGUGAUUCCGGUAGUAGUGGCGAGCGAAACCGGAACAGGCCAAACCGAUCAUGUGUGAUAGCCGGCAGGCGUUGCAUGGUCGGGGUUGUGGGACUCUUACGGUUUUCUGCCGAAAACCACGUAGAUAGUUGUUGUAUAGACAAAUGGUCUUGAAAGGCCAGCCGCAGAGGGUGCCAGCCCCGUAGUUGAAAUGCAGCACUAAUGCGAAGAGGAUCCCAAGUAUCACGGGGCCCGAGAAAUCCCGUGUGAAUCUGCCAGGACCACCUGGUAAGCCUAAAUACUCCCAGAUGACCGAUAGCGGACAAGUACCGUGAGGGAAAGGUGAAAAGUACCCCGGGAGGGGAGUGAAAUAGUACCUGAAACCGUUUGCUUACAAACCGUUGGAGCCUCCUUAGUAGGGGUGACAGCGUGCCUUUUGAAGAAUGAGCCUGCGAGUUAGCGAUACGUGGCGAGGUUAACCCGUGUGGGGUAGCCGUAGCGAAAGCGAGUCUGAAUAGGGCGAUUCAGUCGCGUGUCCUAGACCCGAAGCGAAGUGAUCUAUCCAUGGCCAGGCUGAAGCGACGGUAAGACGUCGUGGAGGGCCGAACCCACUUAGGUUGAAAACUGAGGGGAUGAGCUGUGGAUAGGGGUGAAAGGCCAAUCAAACUUCGUGAUAGCUGGUUCUCUCCGAAAUGCAUUUAGGUGCAGCGUUGCGUGUUUCUUGCCGGAGGUAGAGCUACUGGAUGGCCGAUGGGCCCUACAAGGUUACUGACGUCAGCCAAACUCCGAAUGCCGGUAAGUGAGAGCGCAGCAGUGAGACUGUGGGGGAUAAGCUUCAUAGUCGAGAGGGAAACAACCCAGACCACCAUCUAAGGUCCCUAAGCGCGUGCUAAGUGGGAAAGGAUGUGGAGUUGCUUAGACAACCAGGAGGUUGGCUUAGAAGCAGCCACCCUUGAAAGAGUGCGUAAUAGCUCACUGGUCAAGUGAUCCUGCGCCGACAAUGUAGCGGGGCUCAAGUACACCACCGAAGCUGCGGCAUUCAUACGAUAGCCCGCUGUGUUCCUACGGGGAUGCAGCCAGGUGUGUGGAUGGGUAGGGGAGCGUCGUGCAGCCGUGGAAGCAUCGGAGUGAUCCAGGUGUGGAGGCUGUGCGAGUGAGAAUGCAGGCAUGAGUAGCGAAAGACGAGUGAGAAACUCGUCCGCCGAAUGACCAAGGGUUCCUGGGCCAGGUUAAUCCGCCCAGGGUGAGUCGGGACCUAAGACGAGGCCGACAGGCGUAGCCGAUGGACAACGGGUUGAUAUUCCCGUACCCGUGUGAUCGCGCCCAUGGUGAAUCAGUGAUACUAACCGCCCUGAAUCUGCGUGACUGAUCUCUUUCGAGAGUGAGGCGUGUGGUGGAUGCGUGGGACCUGAUCUGGUAGUAGCCAAGCGAUGGGGUGACGCAGGAAGGUAGCUGGGCCAGUGAGUGGUUGUACUGGUGUAAGCCUGUAGGGCGAACGGUAGGCAAAUCCGCCGUUCACACAAGCCUGAGAGGUGAUGCGUAGCCGAUUGAGGCGAAUUCAGUGAUCCUAUGCUGCCGAGAAAAGCCUCUAGCGAGCUGUCACACGGCCCGUACCCCAAACCGACACAGGUGGUCAGGUAGAGAAUACUAAGGCGAUCGAGAUAACUAUGGUUAAGGAACUCGGCAAAAUGCCCCCGUAACUUCGGGAGAAGGGGGGCCCCUGCCGGUGAUGGAACUUGCUUCCUGAGCUGGUGUGGGCCGCAGAGACCAGUGAGAAGCGACUGUUUACUAAAAACACAGGUCCGUGCGAAGUCGUAAGACGAUGUAUACGGACUGACGCCUGCCCGGUGCUGGAAGGUUAAGAGGACCGGUUAGCCGCAAGGCGAAGCUGAGAAUUUAAGCCCCAGUAAACGGCGGUGGUAACUAUAACCAUCCUAAGGUAGCGAAAUUCCUUGUCGGGUAAGUUCCGACCUGCACGAAUGGCGUAACGACUUCUCAGCUGUCUCAACCAUAGACUCGGCGAAAUUGCAUUACGAGUAAAGAUGCUCGUUACGCGCGGCAGGACGAAAAGACCCCGGGACCUUCACUACAGCUUGGUAUUGGUGUUCGGUUCGGUUUGUGUAGGAUAGGUGGGAGACUGUGAAGCGGUGACGCCAGUUACUGUGGAGUCGUUGUUGAAAUACCACUCUGAUCGUAUUGGAUACCUCAACCUCGGACCAUGAUCUGGUUCAGGGACAGUGCCUGGUGGGUAGUUUAACUGGGGCGGUUGCCUCCUAAAAUGUAACGGAGGCGCCCAAAGGUUCCCUCAGCCUGGUUGGCAAUCAGGUGUCGAGUGCAAGUGCACAAGGGAGCUUGACUGUGAGACUGACAAGUCGAGCAGGGACGAAAGUCGGGACUAGUGAUCCGGCACCGGCAAGUGGAAGCGGUGUCGCUCAACGGAUAAAAGGUACCAGAUCGGAAGAGCGUCGUGUAGGGAAAGAGUGUAGAUCUCGGUGGUCGCC
RNAcentral lists this ribosomal RNA (2715 nucleotides) under seawater metagenome. Its description in RNAcentral is "bacterial LSU rRNA". It matches the Rfam family "Bacterial large subunit ribosomal RNA", at positions 3 to 2522 of the family's 2925-position model. The record is from RNAcentral.